CCUACGGGAGGCUGCAGUGAGGAAUAUUGGUCAAUGGACGCAAGUCUGAACCAGCCAAGCAGCGUGCAGGAAGACGGCCCUAUGAGUUGUAAACUGCUUUUGUACGAGGGUAAAUCCCGAUACGUGUAUCGUGUUGCAAGUACCGUACGAAUAAGGAUCGGCUAACUCCGUGCCAGCAGCCGCGGUAAUACGGAGGGUUCAAGCGUUAUCCGGAUUUAUUGGGGUUAAAGGGGGCGUAGGCGGUUCGCUAAGUUAGUGGUGAAAUCCCGCGGCUCAACUCCGGCACUGCCUCUGAGACGGUCGGGCUAGAGUUUAGUUGCGGUAGGCGGAAUGUGUGGUGUAGCGGUGAAAUGCUUAGAUAUCAUGCAGAACUCCGAUUGCGAAGGCAGCUUACCAAACUGCGACUGACGUUGAGGCACGAAAGCGUGGGUAGCAAACAGGAUUAGAUACCCGUGUAGUC
RNAcentral lists this ribosomal RNA (460 nucleotides) under uncultured bacterium. RNAcentral's name for it is "partial 16S ribosomal RNA". It matches the Rfam family "Bacterial small subunit ribosomal RNA", at positions 338 to 795 of the family's 1533-position model. The record is from RNAcentral.